UAGCCAUACUUGCUUUAGCGUGUGCUGGA
This 29-nucleotide non-coding RNA is filed under the name Mus musculus (house mouse). Lineage: Eukaryota; Metazoa; Chordata; Mammalia; Rodentia; Muridae. The record is from RNAcentral.